RNAcentral lists this ribosomal RNA (459 nucleotides) under uncultured bacterium. RNAcentral describes it as "partial 16S ribosomal RNA". It matches the Rfam family "Bacterial small subunit ribosomal RNA", at positions 338 to 795 of the family's 1533-position model. The record is from RNAcentral.
CCUACGGGCGGCAGCAGUGAGGAAUAUUGGUCAAUGGCCGUAAGGCUGAACCAGCCAAGUCGCGUGAAGGAAGCAGGAUCUAUGGUUUGUAAACUUCUUUUAUAGGGGAAUAAAGGUAUCCACGUGUGGAUAUUUGCAUGUACCCUAUUAAUAAGCAUCGGCUAACUCCUUGCCAGCAGCCGCGGUACUACGGAGGAUGAGAGUGUUCUCGGGUUUUAUUGGGUGUAAAGUGUGCGUAGGCGGGCUUUUAAUGCUGCGUUAAAAAUUCGGGUCUAAACCCCGUCCGGCGGUUGAAACUGGGGGCCUUGAGUGGGCGAGAAGAAGGCGGAAUGCGUGGUGUAGCGGUGAAAUGCAUAGAUAUCACGCAGAACCCCGAUUGCGAAGGCAGCCUUCCGGCGCCCUACUGACGCUGAGGCACGAAAGUGCGGGGAUCGAACAGGAUUAGAUACCCGAGUAGUC